AUUGAUUCUAAUUUAAGGGUCAUAACUCUUAGAUGGAGAAAUCUUGUGGAUCAUGAAGCUUCCUUUGAAGUUUGAAGUUAUUUUAUUUAUUUAUUUUGUGGAAGUUUUGGCAUGAGGACUUAACCGAUUAAAACAGAAUAGUGAAAAUGAAACAUAGUGAGUUAUAGUAGUUGUGUCUUAUGCAAUGAGGAAGGGAAAAACUUGGAUCAUUUAUUCCUGCAGUGCUGUCUUGAUCUGUAUUGUUUGGUUCAGAAUUGACCCUUAGAACUGAGUUCAUUUAUCCUUGCUCUUUGAAGCAGUGAUUGCCACAAUUGAUGGAGGAUUUUAACCUUUCACAAACUGGAAUAUGCAUGUGAUGUUCUCUAAAAUGAUGUUUGAGGGUACAAAAAUGUCUGCUUCAGAACUGCUAAUGCUUAGUAAAGCUCUGUUUUGCAGGUAUGUAUAAAUCUAUAAUGCACCAGGCAGAUCAGAGCAACUGCAGGAAUGUACCAAGGCAAGUGUGUCUAAUUGUGGAGGAUUGCUAAGUGUUGCUUUGAGGGACACUGGCAGAGAGGGUAUGAAUGGGUUGAUUUUGGCUGUAGCUAUAUCAAGCACUGGCAGGAAAAUUUUUGAUUUGCUCCUUCAAUAAGUAGUAGAGGAGUGGAGGAACUCUGUUUGGGAAAGAUGGCUCCUUGGCUGACCAUGCCCAUUUCACAUGAUGGAACGAACCAAAAGACCUAUCUCCAAAUAGUAACUUGAUUAGGCUAUAUACCAUCAUAUAGACUCAAGUAGAAUUAGAAUUAAAAGACAGCAGUAGACAGUAGAGAAUUCUGACCAUACAACAGACUAAACUAUAAAUUACUAACUCUGUCAUCUGGUGCAUAUUCAUCUUUACAGUAAUCAAACCCAAGCAGGCAAGCAACUGUAUAGACAAGGUUGAAAAAUGGAGAAGGUGGCCUACUUGGAUAGGACCUGGUUAGGGAGCUAUACACUCCCGAAGUGGAUGCUCAAAUUUAGCUUGCUGUAUCUGGAGGUGAGGAGUUUCUGAUAUGCUGAUAUGGCCUCAUGUAACACAUGGUCAAUGUGCAGUCAAAAUAGGCUACCAAUUGAUGCAUGCAUUGGAAAUAAGGGAAACUCAGAUAAUGGAUUCUCAUCGUAGGGUUAUAGCCCUUCUUUGAAGAAAUCUGUGGAGCUUGAAGCUUCCUUUGAAGUUAAGAGUUUUUGUUUGGAAGUUUUGGGAAGAGUACUUAGCCAUAGAAACAGAAUAGUGGAAAUGAAACAUAGUGAUUGAUACUGUGUCUUAUGCAAUGAAGAAGAGGAAAACUUUGAUAAUUUAUUCCUGAAGUGCAGUCUUGCUUGGUCUGUAUGGUUUGUGUCAGAUUUGACCCUCAGGACUGAGUUCAUUUGUCCUUCCUCUUUGAAGCAAUGGUUGGCUCAGUAAACAAAGGAUCCAAAUUUUCAUUAACAAAAAUCUGUUAUGAUCCCCAGAUUGUUUAUCAUAACUCUGCAGGCCUUGGGUAUCACUGCAAUAAAGUGAGGUUUGAGGGUGCAGAAUAGUCUGAUUAUGAAGUGAUAAUGCUCAGUAAAGCUUUUGUUUUGCUGGUAUGCACAAGCCUAUGAUGUACAAGUGGUGGGUCAGAUUAAUUGUAGGAGUGUAUCAGCAAGAGUGUAUCUAGUUGUGGAGGGAUAGCAGGUGUUGCUGACAGUUAAGGGGCACUGGCAGAGAGAGUGCAAAUGGGUUGGUUUUGUGCCUAUGCAGCAAAAUCAUGUUUUAGCAGGAAAACCUUUCUGCCACUUGCAACUGAAUGGAAGCUUGACGCCCAGCUGUUCGAAAAGCAUUAACUAAGUCCAUACAGCUUGGUUUUUGCAGACUUGUUUCAAUAAGUACUGAAGGAGUGGAGGACCUCCGUUUGGGAAAGAAGGUUCCUUGGCAACUUCAUGCGAUGAUUGAAGACCACAAGUGCAUGGAAGAUGGAAAAUGAAGAACACUAGUAGUGUAUAUAUGCUGUGCAUAGGAGAGUCACUGCGACAAGGGCCUGGCUACUCUUGCUUCAAAGGAGCUUCUUUUGGAGCUUGCAACUUUAUUACUAGGCAACUCUUCUGGCAUUACUGUAUCAGAAAACCAAAAAAGUUGUCACUACAGAUUUUUUAGACUAAUUUAUGGCUUUGUAGUGUCUGCAUUUUAAGACAUUAUAGAAGAUAUUCGUUUCUCUCUGAGAAAAUCUAUGUAAAAUUCUCCUGUUAAUUUAAAUAAGGGCAUUUCAAUAAA
Quercus robur (English oak) is the source of this 2248-nucleotide long non-coding RNA. RefSeq lists it as uncharacterized. The transcript has 3 exons. The record is from RefSeq and is a predicted model, not a curated record. Lineage: Eukaryota; Viridiplantae; Streptophyta; Magnoliopsida; Fagales; Fagaceae.